Molecule: ribosomal RNA, 405 nt
Filed under: Citrobacter freundii
Lineage: Bacteria; Pseudomonadati; Pseudomonadota; Gammaproteobacteria; Enterobacterales; Enterobacteriaceae
Description: partial 16S ribosomal RNA
Rfam family: Bacterial small subunit ribosomal RNA
Source: RNAcentral
CCCCCCCCCCCCCCACAAUCAAAUCGAAAAAGAAAAAAAAAAAAGCUUGCUUUCCGGUCCGCAGUGGCGGAAGGGUGAGGUAAGUCCGGGAACUGCCCAUGGAAGGGGGAUAAACACUGGAACGGUAGUAAUACCGCAAAAUGUCGCAAGCCCAAAAGGGGGACCCUCGGGCCUCUUGCCAUCGGAUUGGGGGGAUUUGUUUUAGCCCGUAGGGGGGGUAACGGCUCACCUAGGCGACGAUCCCUAGCUGUUUGAGACGCCUCCCCCAGCCACACUGGAACUGAGACACGGUCCAGACUCCUACGGGAGGCAGCAGUGGGGAAUAUUGCACAAUGGGCGCAAGCCUGAUGCAGCCAUGCCGCGUGUAUUAAGGAAGGCUUUCGGGUUGUAAAGUACUUCAGCGAG